RNAcentral lists this ribosomal RNA (253 nucleotides) under uncultured bacterium. RNAcentral's name for it is "partial 16S ribosomal RNA". It matches the Rfam family "Bacterial small subunit ribosomal RNA", at positions 524 to 776 of the family's 1533-position model. The record is from RNAcentral.
UACUGAGGGUGCAAGCGUUAAUCGGAAUUACUGGGCGUAAAGCGCGCGUAGGUGGUUUUAUAAGCCAGAUGUGAAAGCCCCGGGCUCAACCUGGGAACUGCAUUUGGAACUGUGAAACUAGAGUCUUGUAGAGGGUGGUAGAAUUUCAGGUGUAGCGGUGAAAUGCGUAGAUAUCUGAAGGAAUACCGGUGGCGAAGGCGGCCACCUGGACAAUGACUGACACUGAGGUGCGAAAGCGUGGGUAGCGAACGGG